Molecule: transfer RNA, 71 nt
Filed under: Bos taurus (domestic cattle)
Lineage: Eukaryota; Metazoa; Chordata; Mammalia; Artiodactyla; Bovidae
Also listed under: 5 other names
Rfam family: tRNA
About the family: Transfer RNA (tRNA) molecules are approximately 80 nucleotides in length.
Source: Rfam by way of RNAcentral
UCCCCAGAGGCUCAGUGAUAAAGAAUCUGCCUGCAAUGUAGGAGACCUGGGUUCAAUCCCUGGCUCGGGAA